AUAUCUCUCUGUACGGGAAGGAUGAGAAGCUUCGACUAAGGUUCGAUUCGAGCGAAAGCGAGAAAGCGUUGCCGCAGGCA
RNAcentral lists this small RNA (80 nucleotides) under Salmonella enterica subsp. enterica serovar Oranienburg. Its description in RNAcentral is "partial RtT sRNA". It matches the Rfam family "RtT RNA", at positions 1 to 78 of the family's 130-position model. From Rfam's summary of the family: This family represents a bacterial cis-regulatory element known as RtT RNA. The exact function of RtT is unknown although it is thought that it may be involved in changing the cellular response in relation to amino acid starvation. The record is from RNAcentral. RNAcentral also lists the same sequence under 1 other name. Lineage: Bacteria; Pseudomonadati; Pseudomonadota; Gammaproteobacteria; Enterobacterales; Enterobacteriaceae.